GCCCCCGUGGCGGAACCGGUAGACGCGGUAGAUUCAAAAUCUGCUGUCCAUUGGGCGUGCCCGUUCGAGUCGGGCCGGGGGCACCA
Molecule: transfer RNA, 86 nt
Filed under: Cohaesibacter celericrescens
Lineage: Bacteria; Pseudomonadati; Pseudomonadota; Alphaproteobacteria; Hyphomicrobiales; Cohaesibacteraceae
Description: Cohaesibacter sp. H1304 tRNA-Leu
Source: RNAcentral